Molecule: ribosomal RNA, 1464 nt
Filed under: uncultured bacterium
Lineage: Bacteria
Description: bacterial SSU rRNA
Rfam family: Bacterial small subunit ribosomal RNA
Source: RNAcentral
UUGAACGCUGGCGGCAGGCCUAACACAUGCAAGUCGAGCGGCAACGGAGAGUAGCUUGCUACUCUGCCGGCAAGCGGCGGACGGGUGAGUAAAGUCUGGGGAUCUGCCUUAUGGAGGGGGAUAACCAUUGGAAACGGUGGCUAAUACCGCAUGAUGUCGCAAGACCAAAGUGGGGGACUUCAAGGCCUCACGCCAUAAGAUGAACCCAAAUGAGAUUAGCUAGUAGGUGCGGUAAUGGCGUACCUAGGCGACGAUCUCUAGCUGGUCUGAGAGGAUGACCAGCCACACUGGAACUGAGAAACGGUCCAGACUCCUACGGGAGGCAGCAGUGGGGAAUAUUGCACAAUGGGCGGAAGCCUGAUGCAGCCAUGCCGCGUGUGUGAAGAAGGCCUCAGGGUUGUAAAGCACUUUCAGUGGGGAGGAAGGCGGUAAGAGUAAUAUGCUUAUCGAUUGACGUUACCCGCAAAAGAAGCACCGGCUAACUCCGUGCCAGCAGCCGCGGUAAUACGGAGGGUGCGAGCGUUAAUCGGAAUAACUGGGCGUAAAGGGCAUGUAGGCGGUAAGUUAAAUCAGAUGUGAAAUCCCCAAGCUUAACUUAGGAAGGGCAUUUGAGACUGGCUAGCUAGAGUUUUGUAGAGGGGGGUAGAAUUCCAGGUGUAGCGGUGAAAUGCGUAGAGAUCUGGAGGAAUAUCAGUGGCGAAAGCGGCCCCCUGGACAAAAACUGACGCUGAGGUGCGAAAGCGUGGGUAGCAAACAGGAUUAGAUACCCUGGUAGUCCACGCUGUAAACGAUGUCGAUUAGGAGGUUGUAACCUAGUGUUAUGGCGUCCGAAGCUAACGCGAUAAAUCGACCGCCUGGGGAGUACGGCCGCAAGGCUAAAACUCAAAUGAAUUGACGGGGGCCCGCACAAGCGGUGGAGCAUGUGGUUUAAUUCGAUGCAACGCGUAGAACCUUACCUACUCUUGACAUCCACGGAAUUGAGCAGAGAUGCUUAGGUGCCUUCGGGAGCCGUGAGACAGGUGCUGCAUGGCCGUCGUCAGCUCGUGUUGUGAAAUGUUGGGUUAAGUCCCGCAACGAGCGCAACCCUUGUCCUUUGUUGCCAGCGCGUGAUGGCGGGAACUCAAAGGAGACUGCCGGUGAUAAACCGGAGGAAGGUGGGGAUGACGUCAAGUCAUCAUGGCCCUUACGGCCUGGGCUACACACGUGCUACAAUGGUCGGUACAAAGGGUUGCCAAGCCGCGAGGUGGAGCUAAUCCCAUAAAACCGAUCGUAGUCCGGAUCGCAGUCUGCAACUCGACUGCGUGAAGUCGGAAUCGCUAGUAAUCGCGAAUCAGAAUGUCGCGGUGAAUACGUUCCCGGGCCUUGUACACACCGCCCGUCACACCAUGGGAGUGGGUUGCACCAGAAGUAGCUAGUCUAACCUUCGGGAGGACGGUUACCACGGUGUGAUUCAUGACUGGGGUG